UCAUAGAUUAGUGGCGAACGGGUGAGUAACGCGUAAGAAUCUGCCUUCAGGUAAAGGAUAACAGUUGGAAACGGCUGCUAAUACUUUAUAUGCUUUUUAAGUGAAAGGUUUAUCUGCCUGAAGAUGAGCUUGCGUCCGAUUAGCUAGUUGGUAAGGUAAUGGCUUACCAAGGCUACGAUCGGUAGUUGAUCUGAGAGGAUGUUCAACCACAUUGGGACUGAGAUACGGCUCAGACCUCUACGGAGGGCAGCAGUGAGGAAUUUUCCGCAAUGGGCGAAAGCCUGACGGAGCAAUACCGCGUGAAGGAAGACGGCCUGUGGGUUGUAAACUUCUUUUCUUGAGGAAGAAAAUUUGACGGUACUCAAGGAAUAAGCAUCGGCUAACUCUGUGCCAGCAGCCGCGGUAAUACAGAGGAUGCAAGCGUUAUCCGAAAUUAUUGGGCGUAAAGCGUUUGUAGGUGGCCUUUUAAGUCCACUGUUAAAUAUCACAGCUCAACUGUGAAAAGGCAGUGCGAAACUAAAGGGCUUGAGUAUGGUAGGGGCAGAGGGAACUCUUGAAGUAGUGGUGAAAUGCGCAGAUAUCAAGGGGAACACCAAUGGCGAAAGCACUCUGCUGGGCCAAAACUGACACUGAGAAACGAAAGCUAGGGGAGCAAAUAGGAUUAGAUACCCUAGUAGUCCUAGCUGUAAACGAUGGAUACUAAGUGUCGGGUACGCUGUUCGCAGGGUAUUCGGUGCUGAAGCUAACGCGUUAAGUAUCCCGCCUGGGGAGUACGUCCGCAAGGAUGAAACUCAAAGGAAUUGACGGGGCCCGCACAAGCGGUGGAGCAUGUGGUUUAAUUCGAUGCACGCGAAGAACCUUACCAGGA
RNAcentral lists this ribosomal RNA (868 nucleotides) under uncultured bacterium. RNAcentral's name for it is "bacterial SSU rRNA". It matches the Rfam family "Bacterial small subunit ribosomal RNA", at positions 85 to 979 of the family's 1533-position model. The record is from RNAcentral.